RNAcentral lists this ribosomal RNA (200 nucleotides) under uncultured bacterium. RNAcentral's name for it is "partial 16S ribosomal RNA". It matches the Rfam family "Bacterial small subunit ribosomal RNA", at positions 1302 to 1500 of the family's 1533-position model. The record is from RNAcentral.
AGUCUGCAACUCGACUGCACGAAGCUGGAAUCGCUAGUAAUCGCGGAUCAGCACGCCGCGGUGAAUACGUUCCCGGGCCUUGUACACACCGCCCGUCAAGUCAUGAAAGUGGGCAGCACCCGAAGACGGUGGCCUAACCCUUGUGGGGGGAGCCGUCUAAGGUGAGGCUCGUGAUUGGGACUAAGUCGUAACAAGGUACC